CUUUGCUCUGGUUUGUAAGAUGUUGACACCUGCGGAAGCUGGGCUGGGGCAUCCGAGAACUCUCUGCACUGUCCUUCAACUUUUCUGUGCCAGAUCUGGGCCAUGGGCCAGAAGAUGCUAUGUGCUGCCCUCACAGAGCAGGAACUUGAAGUAAGGAAUUGGGAGCCUGCUCAAGAGAAUGGGCUAACCAGGAUGGCCCGACCUGAACCCGCGAGAACACAAGCUCAAGGGAGCACAGACAGCCCGUUGUGUUUAUCGCUGCCUCCCGGGUGCUCAGAACAAUCCCGAUACCUAGGACCAGUCAAUAACUAGGUGUCGAAUGAAUGAACAAGGGGCACGUGGUGUAUUUGGGUAAGCAAUAAAUAAGGCCG
RNAcentral lists this long non-coding RNA (371 nucleotides) under Equus caballus (horse). RNAcentral's name for it is "lncRNA (ENSECAG00000047206.1)". The record is from RNAcentral. Lineage: Eukaryota; Metazoa; Chordata; Mammalia; Perissodactyla; Equidae.